UUCUGCGUUUCCAUCCAGAUUCUCGUGUAUACCAUGACGGUCCGGAUUGGGGUAUUGUUUAUUUCUGUAUUCUUUAAAUUCAACACGGUUAUGUCAUUUUUUUUCUACAUUUUAUUUAUCUUACUCAUUAUUCUUUCUUUAUUUUUCAUAUUUUGUCAUCCCAAUAUAUUUUACUUACUGAUAUUUAGUUACAUUACGACGUUU
RNAcentral lists this long non-coding RNA (204 nucleotides) under Mytilus galloprovincialis (Mediterranean mussel). The record is from RNAcentral. Lineage: Eukaryota; Metazoa; Mollusca; Bivalvia; Mytilida; Mytilidae.